CACUGCUCUGACGGAUGCUUUUAUUAGACCAAGCCGCUGAGGACUUGAGGGCUUGCUCUCCUGUCUGACUCGUGUAAUGGUGACUCUGGAUAACCAAAUUUCUGACAAGCGCACGUACUUCUCUUCUGAGCGAGACGGCGCUGCCACUUUCGAGUGUCUGCCUUAUCAGCUAUCAACCGUUCGUUAUGCGCGACCGAUGGCUUUGACGGGUAACGGGGAAUCAGGGUUCGAUUCCGGAGAGGCAGCCUGAGAGACGGCUACCACGUCCAAGGACGGCAGCAGGCACGCAAAUUACCCAAUCCCAGCAAAUGGGGGAGGUAGUGACGAAAUCUAACGAUGCGGGCGCCCUUUCUGGGGCCCCGCAAUCGGAAUGGGCACUUUCUAAACAACCUGUUGAGAACCUACUGAAGGGCAAGUCUGGUGCCAGCAGCCGCGGUAAUUCCAGCUUCAGCAGCAUCUAUUAAAGUUGCUGCGGUUAAAAGGCUCGCAGUUGAAUGUCUGUAUCGAGCGCAGGUCAGGUGGACGUUGGGGCGUGGAAGUACGGGCAGUUGGAUGUCCGGAGGGCCUUCGUGCUCAACGGCUCCUUCGGCUUUUCCACACACCCCCGUCCGUGACAAGCCUCCUCGCUCGGGUACAUAACGGGAAUCGGUCAAACGGAGUGUGGUCGGGGGUUGGGGCGCGUGGCCUCGGUUGCGUGUCUCUUCUUUCGGCUGCGUUAAGCUCCAUCGGUUUCACGGUCACCUUGAGUAAAUCAGAGUGCUCAAAGCAGUCGUAGGGGCCUUGCGCCCUGUGAACAGUCUUGACGGACUGACUUGGUUUUGCAUGGCAUGUCGGAAGACGACGUCGUGUGCUGGCUCAGAGGAUAAAUCAGUGGUACAAGCCAGCCUCGACGUAAUGAUUAAAAGGGACGGUCGAGGGCAUUGGUAUUGCGAGGCGAGAGGUGAAAUUCUGUGACCCCCGCAAGACCUCCUGAAGCGAAAGCGUCUGCCAAGGACGUUUUCAUUAAUCAUGAACGAAAGUUAGAGGAUCGAAGGCGAUCAGAUACCGCCCUAGUUCUAACCCUAAACGAUGCCAACCAUCAAUCCGCGCGUAGCACCCUUCUUAACGGGCUCGGCGGGCAGCUCCCCACUCACGGGAAACCAGAGCCUCUGGGUUCCGGGGGGAGUCUGGUUGCAAAGCUGAAACUUAAAGGAAUUGACGGAAAGGCACCACCAGGCGUGGAGCCUGCGGCUUAAUUUGACUCAACACGGGCCAUCUCACCAGGCCAGCACUCUUGUACGAUUGACAGAUGAGAGCUCUUCUCGAUUCAGUGGAUGGUGGUGCAUGGCCGUUCUUAGUUGGUGGAGUGAUCUGUCUGGUUAAUUCCGAUAACGAACGAGACUCUCCCCUGCUAACUAGUCGGUUGGAUCUUGAUCAGCGGGUUGCGUGCCGAGUAACUCUCGCUGUGCGUGGUGCGUAGCUGGGCCUCACGGUUCGUUGCGUGCUCGCGUGGCGUUGGAUGCCUUGGAUUACACUGCACCCCAAGUCCGCCGCUUAUGCUAUAACUCUUCUUAGAGGGAUUCACGGCACUGAAGCCGUAAGAGACUGAGAGCAAUAACAGGUCUGUGAUGCCCUUAGAUGCUCUGGGCCGCACGCGCGCUACAAUGCCGGGCACAGCAGGUGUUUCUCCUUCUCCGACAGGAGCGGGUAACCCUCUGAAAGCCAGUGUUCUUGCAAGUGCUUCCUCCCUCGUGGAGUUGCACAGAGGCGUGCUUGGGCCUGGGACUUGCAAUUCUUUCCCACCAACGAGGAAUGCCUAGUA
RNAcentral lists this ribosomal RNA (1801 nucleotides) under Gammarus nekkensis. RNAcentral describes it as "SSU rRNA". It matches the Rfam family "Eukaryotic small subunit ribosomal RNA", at positions 187 to 1619 of the family's 1831-position model. Lineage: Eukaryota; Metazoa; Arthropoda; Malacostraca; Amphipoda; Gammaridae. The record is from RNAcentral.